AGUCAAGUUUAAGACUCAGAUAUUGAGCACUUUUUUUUUACUUUUGAGCAUUCUAGUAUUCAGCAGGCCAACAGGAUUUUAUCUGAGCCUGCUCCUGUGUUGAACUCUGAAUAUGUGCCAAAAAACUCUGAAAGGAGGUACAGGGUCCUCUUGUCUAAGCACAAUCAUUACAAACCUUCAUUUGUCAGGUAAACUUAAUAAUGGGUGACUCCUGGAGGACACACAGAGGAGGGAGGCACUCAGAUAACUGCAGGUUUUGGAUCAUGUGUUUGCUUGUGAUUUAUGUACUAAGGUGUGUAUGCUUUGAGAUGUAUGCCUUUGAAUUUUUAAAGUUUGUAACAGAGAAAAUGGUUUUGUGACUCAUUUGCUUCGUUGUUUUAUCUCAGGCUAGCGUUUGCAUGUGUGUUUUUAUUUAAAGUGUUUUAUUGUGAUGUUUGGUUUUGUUGCAGCAAUUCCCUUAAUCCAAGACACUUUUCUCCUAUUUGAGACAAUAAAAGUAACCUAAACCUUUUAUCCUUAAGAAGUAAAUGAUUAAAAUGUCCAUUCUGUAAAAAACACAGGUUCUGACUCAGCAUCUGACAAGUAUAUAGGAUCCAGUCUGGACAUUUGUAAAAUAAACAUGCGCCCAUGAAAUAAUGUAAAACACAAAAUAAAAUUCAUGGAUGCCGAAGUAACGAUCAAUCAUGAAACUAUAGAGGGAGAAUUUGACAGAUGCCAAUAAUCUUCCUCUUUGAAGGUGAUUUACUUUUGUAAAGUCCUCUCAUGAUUUGAUAAGCCCUCAAAUGUGACACUAAUGUAAAAAUAUGAAUGAUAUUGAUUGUCAUGUGUAAUUGAAUAGUAGUACAUCGUCUGAGUAAAACUUUAACUCAGUCAGGACCUUCACAUGUUCUGUCAAGUGUCAGUCAGUGUUACCUUAUCAGCUACUUCUUACCUGAUGGAAAUGAUUUAAUUUAGUGACUAGCAGCACCACAGCAGAGACAAACACACUAUUUACCAGAGUUGUGUGAGGAAGGAGGGAGGGAUUAAAGGAGGAGAAAAACUGUGACUCAAGUACAGAAAAGACACAAACUUUCACAGUGGUGUUUCAUACAAAAACCAGACAGAUUCUCUUUAUCUUUAAGAUGCUGUCAGUGAACUUCAGUCUGUUUGUGACUUUGUUUCUGCUCACAAUAAGAGGUGUCAGCUGUGAAGAACUCACUCCAGAUAACAAUGAAGAGUUCAGUUUAGAAGGCAGCACUGUUACUCUGUCCUACAAAUACUCCAAAAAAGCUGAUAGCAACGAUAAUUUCUUCUGGUAUCGACAAUAUCCAGGAAAACAACCAGAGUUCCUCCUGUACAUCUCAGGGCUCAACUUUACAAGACCAGCAGAGUCUCUAGAAUCAGACACAAAGUUCUCUACUAAAUUGUCUGGAGAAAAACAUCUGGAUCUGCAGAUCUCCUCUGUUGCAGUGACUGACUCUGCUCUGUACUACUGUGCUGUGAAGCCCACAGUGACAGGAAACACCAAGACUCUGUACAAAAACCUUUGGAGCAAAGACAACAGAAUACUCCACAACGUCCACUAGAGGGAGUCACACACUGUUAACCUUCAAUGGUUUAUGAUGAUACAGUCUUCAAUCACUUUACUUUCAGUCAAGAUUGUAACGUAAAGCUUUAGAAAUGAAACGUCUCAUAGCUCAUUCACUCUGAACAUCAAAUUACAUUUCACGAAAGUAACCAAUACCAAGUACAAAAUACCUAAGAAACAGAUUUGACCAUUUUGUUGUCCAGAGGUGUCAUUUCUUCUUCAAAGAAUGGUUUAAUGUUAUUUAAACAACAUUUGAUUUAAUCUAUUUUAGGAACAAAACUUAAAACAUCUUAAGUGCAUAACUAACUUGAAAGAUACUAAGAGUUUUGAAGUGUUUUUGAAUCAUGUCACAGAAAAGGAUGACAAUUAUUAGUUGUUGGAUGGCAGCUGUAUAAAAUGAGGUGUUGUUUAUAUAAAUGAGAGACUAUCACACAGCAAAUCCUCUGACAACCAGUCUAACAGCUGAGAGGCCUCCACCAAUGGAGUCCUUUCUCACCACUGCUGUUUGAUCCUUCGGGAGUAAAGGAUUAAAAUGUCCAUUCCGUAAAAAACUCAUGAUGUCAAGGUUCUGACUCAGCAUCUGCCAAAUAUAUAGGAUCCAGUCUGGACAUUAAAGCUUUUGUAAAACAAUCAUGGUCCAUGAAAUAAUUGUCACAGUCUGUCUUGUUCUCUCCAGUCACUCCCCUUCACUCUGCACUCCCUCACCUGAGUAUUAAUUCCCAGCACCUGUCACCCAUCGCACACCUGCACGUAAUCAGCCACUCCACUCACCUAUAUAACCCAGCUCCUCACUACAGUCAGUGUCCGGUCUCGUUAAUGCCACAGGACAGAACGCUAGUUCCCCUGACUUUGUUAACGCCUUGGACUCUAUCUACCUGUACGGAUUAUACCACAUAC
Non-coding RNA from Siniperca chuatsi (mandarin fish), 2464 nucleotides. Lineage: Eukaryota; Metazoa; Chordata; Actinopteri; Centrarchiformes; Sinipercidae. The record is from the annotation of a RefSeq genome assembly.